This 402-nucleotide ribosomal RNA is filed under the name uncultured bacterium. Its description in RNAcentral is "bacterial SSU rRNA". It matches the Rfam family "Bacterial small subunit ribosomal RNA", at positions 355 to 774 of the family's 1533-position model. The record is from RNAcentral.
UGGGGAAUCUUGCACAAUGGGGGAAACCCUGAUGCAGCGACGCCGCGUGAACGAUGAAGCCCUUCGGGGUGUAAAGUUCUUUCGACAGGAACGAUAAUGACGGUACCGGGAGAAGAAGCUGCGGCUAACUACGUGCCAGCAGCCGCGGUAAUACGUAGGCAGCAAGCGUUGUUCGGAGUUACUGGGCGUAAAGAGUGCGUAGGCGGUUUUCUAAGUUCGGUGUGAAAUCUCCCGGCUUAACUGGGAGGGUGCGCCGAAGACUGGGAAGCUGGAGUGUGGGAAAGGCAGGCGGAAUUCCCGGUGUAGCGGUGAAAUGCGUAGAUAUCAGGAGGAACACCGGCGGUGUAGACGGCUUGCUAGACCAUAACUGACGCUGAGGCACGAAAGCGUGGGUAGCAAACA